RNAcentral lists this ribosomal RNA (891 nucleotides) under Zasmidium biverticillatum. RNAcentral's name for it is "LSU rRNA". It matches the Rfam family "Eukaryotic large subunit ribosomal RNA", at positions 38 to 965 of the family's 3401-position model. The record is from RNAcentral. Lineage: Eukaryota; Fungi; Ascomycota; Dothideomycetes; Mycosphaerellales; Mycosphaerellaceae.
GCAUAUCAAUAAGCGGAGGAAAAGAAACCAACAGGGAUUGCCUCAGUAACGGCGAGUGAAGCGGCAACAGCUCAAAUUUGAAACCUGGCGCAAGCCCGGAUUGUAAUUUGCAGAGGAUGCUUCUGGGCAGCGGCCGGUCUAAGUUCCUUGGAACAGGACGUCAUAGAGGGUGAGAAUCCCGUAUGCGACCGGCGCGCACCCUCCACGUAGCUCCUUCGACGAGUCGAGUUGUUUGGGAAUGCAGCUCUAAAUGGGAGGUAAAUUUCUUCUAAAGCUAAAUACCGGCCAGAGACCGAUAGCGCACAAGUAGAGUGAUCGAAAGAUGAAAAGCACUUUGGAAAGAGAGUUAAAAAGCACGUGAAAUUGUUGAAAGGGAAGCGCUUCCCACCAGACUCCGUGGCGGUGUUCCGCCGGUCUUCUGACCGGUCUACUCGCCGCCGCGGGGCCAACAUCGUCUGGGGCCGCCGGAUAAGACCGGAGGAAUGUAGCUCAUUGAGUAUUAUAGCCUCCGGGGAUGCGGCGCGCGCCGGGCGAGGUCCGCGCUUCGGCAAGGAUGUUGGCGUAAUGGUGGGCAGCGGCCCGUCUUGAAACACGGACCAAGGAGUCUAACAUCUAUGCGAGUGUUCGGGUGUCAAACCCCUACGCGUAAUGAAAGUGAACGGAGGUGGGAACCGCAAGGUGCACCAUCGACCGAUCCUGAUGUCCUCGGAUGGAUUUGAGUAAGAGCAUAGCUGUUGGGACCCGAAAGAUGGUGAACUAUGCCUGAAUAGGGUGAAGCCAGAGGAAACUCUGGUGGAGGCUCGCAGCGGUUCUGACGUGCAAAUCGAUCGUCAAAUUUGGGUAUAGGGGCGAAAGACUAAUCGAACCAUCUAGUAGCUGGUUCCUGCCGAA